Betta splendens (Siamese fighting fish) is the source of this 402-nucleotide non-coding RNA. The record is from the annotation of a RefSeq genome assembly. NCBI's taxonomy places the organism in Eukaryota, Metazoa, Chordata, Actinopteri, Anabantiformes, Osphronemidae.
UGCAGAGUCGACAGAGACCAGAGACACAUGAUGGACCGUCUGACAGCACUACUGCUUGUGCUCGGCCUGACAGGCGUCAGCGGUCAGUCACUGGGUGAAUCGGACCCAGCGGUUAAAAGACCCGGAGAAUCCCACAGACUGACCUGCACGACCUCUGGGUUCACGCUCAGCAGCUUCUGGAUGGGCUGGGUCAGACAGGCGCCUGGGAAGGGGCUGGAGUGGGUUUCCACUGUGAGAAACGAUGGUGGCAACAGCUACUACGCUCAGUCGAUCCAAGGCCGGUUCACCGUCUCCAGAGACGACGGCAGACAGCAGGUGUUUCUGCAGAUGAACAGUCUGAAGACGGAAGAUUCUGCCGUUUAUUACUGUGCUCGUCACCCACAGUGACUGGAGUUGGUGGAG